This 403-nucleotide ribosomal RNA is filed under the name uncultured bacterium. Its description in RNAcentral is "partial 16S ribosomal RNA". It matches the Rfam family "Bacterial small subunit ribosomal RNA", at positions 28 to 526 of the family's 1533-position model. The record is from RNAcentral.
GACGAACGCUGGCGGCGUGCCUAAUACAUGCAAGUCGAACGCAGUGGGGACGGGUGAGUAACACGUGGGUAACCUCCCAUCAGAGGGGAUAACACUUGGAAACAGGUGCUAAACCGAUACUGAUGGAUGGACCCGCGGUGCAUUAGCUAGUUGGUGAGGUAACGGCUCACCAAGGCCACGAUGCAUCGCCGACCUGGAAGGGUGAUCAGCCAGACUGGGACUGAGGCAAGGCCCAGACUCAUACGGGAGGCAGAAGUAAGGAAACUUCGGGCAUAGAAGGAAGUCAGACCGAGCAACGCCGCGUGAGUGAAGAAGGUUUUCGGAUCGUAAAGCUCUGUUGAUAGAGAAGCGGUAACUAACCAGAAAGGGACGGCUAACUACGUGCCAGCAGCCGCGGUAAUAC